RNAcentral lists this ribosomal RNA (464 nucleotides) under uncultured bacterium. RNAcentral describes it as "bacterial SSU rRNA". It matches the Rfam family "Bacterial small subunit ribosomal RNA", at positions 28 to 507 of the family's 1533-position model. The record is from RNAcentral.
GACGAACGCUGGCGGCACGCCUAACACAUGCAAGUCGAACGGUGAAGAGGAGCUUGCUCCUCGGAUCAGUGGCGGACGGGUGAGUAACACGUGAGCAACCUGCCUUACAGAGGGGGACAACAGUUGGAAACGACUGCUAAUACCGCAUAACAUAUUAUGAGGGCAUCCUCGUAAUAUCAAAGGAGCAAUCCGCUGUAAGAUGGACUCGCGUCCAAUUAGAUAGUUGGUGAGGUAACGGCUCACCAAGUCGACGAUCCAUAGCCGGCCUGAGAGGGUGAACGGCCACAUUGGGACUGAGACACGGCCCAAACUCCUACGGGAGGCAGCAGUGGGGAAUAUUGCACAAUGGGGGAAACCCUGAUGCAGCGACGCCGCGUGAGUGAAGAAGUAUUUCGGUAUGUAAAGCUCUAUCAGCAGGGAAGAAAAUGACGGUACCUGACUAAGAAGCCCCGGCUAACUACGUG